This is a long non-coding RNA of Hippocampus zosterae (dwarf seahorse), 722 nucleotides long. RefSeq lists it as uncharacterized. The transcript has 5 exons. NCBI's taxonomy places the organism in Eukaryota, Metazoa, Chordata, Actinopteri, Syngnathiformes, Syngnathidae. The record is from RefSeq and is a predicted model, not a curated record.
GUUGUUUGGCUAACUGCUGUCGUGCGGACUGCGACACUCUUGCGCUCAAUCAGAGCUGAUUUGGAGGAGGGUGGCUUCUUGCUCGGAGCGGAGUCAGUGCACAGAACACACUCACAAGAGCGAAUCACCGCCUUUCCAAGAAGUACGUCUGAAGUACUAUACGUUGUGAGAAGGUUGUUGUUUUGCAUCCUCAUGGCCACCGCUGAGCAAAACUCCCGAAUAUGUCAAGCAAGACGCCACGCUGCCAUCUUGGAUCACUUCCACUCGUAAUGUGUGCAUGCUGGCCAAGGGCAAGUGUUUCCCAUGCAGUCCUGUCACUGAUACCACAUCCAGGAAUUAGGGCUGCUUGUUUCCUCAUCACUUGUCAAGAGUUUCCCUGUAAAACUCGCCACGCUGAGCAUCCUCCAUCACCAACGGCCCUGCUUGACAGAAGCCAUUUUCUGUGAUGUAGACCACUGGGUCACCAAAUGUGCCCUGGAAAGCGAAGGACAAAUGAAUGGUUUCCAUAGUUCAAGGCGUAACAAUGAAGACACGGCGGCAAACAGGAAAUCUAAUCUAGCCGCAGUCUCAUUAGUGAUUUGGAAUUGGUUUGGCUUUGCAGCAUGGGAAUAGAGAAAAAAAUUAAAAAUUCUCACACGAUAGCCUAGUAGUACUGUACCUCUGUAUCUUUCUAUCCUCUCUACAAGAUUAUUUUCCUUACAAAAUGAUUUUUAUGAAAAGUA